Molecule: ribosomal RNA, 684 nt
Filed under: uncultured bacterium
Lineage: Bacteria
Description: bacterial SSU rRNA
Rfam family: Bacterial small subunit ribosomal RNA
Source: RNAcentral
GUGGGAAAUCUGCCGAGUAGCGGGGGACAACGUUUGGAAACGAACGCUAAUACCGCAUAACAAUGAGAAUCGCAUGAUUCUGAUUUAAAAGAAGCAACUGCUUCACUACUUGAUGAUCCCGCGUUGUAUUAGCUAGUUGGUAGUGUAAAGGACUACCAAGGCGAUGAUACAUAGCCGGCCUGAGAGGGUGAACGGCCACACUGGGACUGAGACACGGCCCAGACUCCUACGGGAGGCAGCAGUAGGGAAUCUUCGGCAAUGGGGGCAACCCUGACCGAGCAACGCCGCGUGAGUGAAGAAGGUUUUCGGAUCGUAAAACUCUGUUGUUAGAGAAGAACGUUAAGUAGAGUGGAAAGUUACUUAAGUGACGGUAUCUAACCAGAAAGGGACGGCUAACUACGUGCCAGCAGCCGCGGUAAUACGUAGGUCCCGAGCGUUGUCCGGAUUUAUUGGGCGUAAAGCGAGCGCAGGUGGUUCCUUAAGUCUGAUGUAAAAGGCAGUGGCUCAACCAUUGUGUGCAUUGGAAACUGGGGAACUUGAGUGCAGGAGAGGGGAGUGGAAUUCCAUGUGUAGCGGUGAAAUGCGUAGAUAUAUGGAGGAACACCGGAGGCGAAAGCGGCUUUCUGGCCUGUAACUGACACUGAGGCUCGAAAGCGUGGGGAGCAAACAGGAUUAGAUACCCUG